GUCCACGCUGUAAACGAUGAAGACUAGAUGUUGGCCUGCGCAAGUAGGUGAGUAUCGAAGCUAACGCGAUAAGUCUUCCGCCUGGGAAGUACGGCCGCAAGGUUAAAACUCAAAGGAAUUGACGGGGGCCCCGCACAAGCGGUGGAGCAUGUGGUUCAAUUAGAUGCAACGCGAAGAACCUUACCUACUCUUGACAUCCUGAGAAUCUUGUAGAGAUACGAGAGUGCCGAAAGGAAUUCAGAGACAGGUGCUGCAUGGCUGUCGU
This 265-nucleotide ribosomal RNA is filed under the name uncultured bacterium. Its description in RNAcentral is "partial 16S ribosomal RNA". It matches the Rfam family "Bacterial small subunit ribosomal RNA", at positions 793 to 1055 of the family's 1533-position model. The record is from RNAcentral.